AUGAAGAAUGUGUUAGCAGGAUUAUCAAAGCUAAAAGAGAUGCAUUCAGAAUACAAAGAUGUAUCUAUUGAUGAUGACGCUACUUUUGCUGAUCCCACAAAUAAUCAGAUAAUCGAGACGGAACAUGACACUGCUGAUGCAGAUAUUCAAGAUGCACUGCCCAGAAACUUCGACAACCAAAUUGUACCAGAAAGAAGAACCACUGAGGAUACAACAGCUGGAAUACUUGAGCCAUCUCAUGAUGUAAACGAACUAUUGGAGCCUGAACAGUCAAAUGGAGAGCCCUUACAAGAUACGGAGAAAGAAAAGGAAGAACUUCGCCCUGGUCUUGUUCUAGACACCUGUAUGCAACCACCAGAUAUAGCACAGGACAUUUUAUCAUAUGGUGAAGGAAUAUUUAGCAUUGCACCCGCCCAAGGAAAUAGACCUGUUGGCUUCUUCUCUGUUCCUAAACUUGAAGCCAUGGCCUUUCCUGUGCAGUUCCCAACUGGACAGAACACAUUAGAUGAAGCCAGACAAGUCAAACUGUCCCCAAGCAUGUAUUUUAAUACACGGCUGUUCUCUGCAGAUACACGGUUUGCAACUGACCAAAGCUACCUAUUCUUUGCACAGUUUGUAACAGAAACACACAUGGCUACAAACAGCAUGUCCAUCCAAUUGCGCAAAGGUAAGGCAAUCACCAAGGAUGGACGUAGAAUUUGUAACAGAAUGCUUCAAAAUAAAGACGAAGUGGAGAGACUGAUAAAUAACAAAGAUGCAACACGCUUCAUGAAACCUCUGAGAGGUACUCCAGCCUAUUGGGAGAAGGCACUGAAAGAUCUCCAUGCUAUGGUCAGACAGUUAGGAAAGCCGACUUGUUUCCUGACAUUUUCAGCUGCUGAAAUGAGAUGGCCUGAGGUUGUUGAGGUCAUAAAAACUCAACAAGGUGAACAAGUGGAUUUUUCACAACUUGACUGGAACACAAAGUGUGAAAUUCUCCGAAGCAACCCUGUGACUGUGAUGCGAUUGUUUGAAAAAAGAGUCGAUGCACUAAUGACAACACUGAUCCUGUCCCCAGCACAGCCCAUCGGUGAAGCAGAAGAUUACUUUUAUCGAGUGGAGUUUCAGGCCAGAGGUAGCCCUCAUAUCCAUUUACUGGUUUGGGUCAAAGAUGCACCUAAAUUUGGAAGCGACCUUGAAGACCACGUGUACAAAUUUAUUGACAAGUACAUAACAUGUAAGAUGCCUGACCAAAAUGCCGAUCCUGAACUUCACAAAAUUGUGUCUGAGGUUCAAGUCCACAGCAGAAAUCACUCCAGAUCCUGCAAAAAAGGUAAUGUGUCAUAUAGGUUUGGGUUCCCCAAACUACCGGUAGACCAAACAAAGAUCACUUUCCCAAGCCCAGAUGAUGACGAUGAUCACAAUGAUAAGCAGCAUAGCACAAGUAAGGAGAAAGGCACAAAUGAAAAA
Molecule: long non-coding RNA, 1449 nt
Filed under: Oreochromis niloticus (Nile tilapia)
Lineage: Eukaryota; Metazoa; Chordata; Actinopteri; Cichliformes; Cichlidae
Description: lncRNA (ENSONIG00000037822.1)
Source: RNAcentral